This 253-nucleotide ribosomal RNA is filed under the name uncultured bacterium. Its description in RNAcentral is "partial 16S ribosomal RNA". It matches the Rfam family "Bacterial small subunit ribosomal RNA", at positions 524 to 776 of the family's 1533-position model. The record is from RNAcentral.
UACGAGAGGCCCAAACGUUAUUCGGAAUUACUGGGCUUAAAGAGUUCGUAGGCGGCAUGAAAAGUAGGGUGUGAAAGCCCUCGGCUCAACCGAGGAACUGCUUUUGAGACUGCCGAGCUAGAGUGCAGAAGGGGCAACUGGAAUUCCCAGUGUAGCGGUGAAAUGCGUAGAUAUUGGGAAGAACACCUGAGGCGAAGGCGGGUUGCUGGGCUGACACUGACGCUGAGGCGCGAAAGCCAGGGGAGCAAACGGG